AUGAACCUGGAGCUUGCUCUAGGGAAUUAGUGGCGAACGGGUGAGUAACACGUGAGUAACCUGCCCUUGACUCUGGGAUAACCUCCGGAAACGGAAGCUAAUACCGGAUAUGACGCACGGAGGCAUCUCCUGUGCGUGGAAAGAACUUCGGUCAAGGAUGGACUCGCGGCCUAUCAGGUAGUUGGUGAGGUAACGGCUCACCAAGCCUACGACGGGUAGCCGGCCUGAGAGGGUGACCGGCCACACUGGGACUGAGACACGGCCCAGACUCCUACGGGAGGCAGCAGUGGGGAAUAUUGCACAAUGGGCGCAAGCCUGAUGCAGCAACGCCGCGUGAGGGACGACGGCCUUCGGGUUGUAAACCUCUUUUAGUAGGGAAGAAGCGAAAGUGACGGUACCUGCAGAAAAAGCACCGGCUAACUACGUGCCAGCAGCCGCGGUAAUACGUAGGGUGCGAGCGUUGUCCGGAAUUAUUGGGCGUAAAGAGCUCGUAGGCGGUCUGUCGCGUCUGCUGUGAAAACCUGAGGCUCAACCUCGGGCCUGCAGUGGGUACGGGCAGACUAGAGUGCGGUAGGGGAGAAUGGAAUUCCUGGUGUAGCGGUGGAAUGCGCAGAUAUCAGGAGGAACACCGAUGGCGAAGGCAGUUCUCUGGGCCGUAACUGACGCUGAGGAGCGAAAGCGU
This 682-nucleotide ribosomal RNA is filed under the name uncultured Leifsonia sp. RNAcentral describes it as "bacterial SSU rRNA". It matches the Rfam family "Bacterial small subunit ribosomal RNA", at positions 66 to 762 of the family's 1533-position model. Lineage: Bacteria; Bacillati; Actinomycetota; Actinomycetes; Micrococcales; Microbacteriaceae. The record is from RNAcentral.